Molecule: non-coding RNA, 770 nt
Organism: Linepithema humile (Argentine ant)
Lineage: Eukaryota; Metazoa; Arthropoda; Insecta; Hymenoptera; Formicidae
Source: RefSeq, a predicted model, not a curated record
ACGUAGCGGACAGAACACAUCAUCUAGUGCUAACCUAGCAGUAGCAAGUGCAGCUGGCAACACUGCAGUCUUGUUCACCGACGAGAUUGGUUAUAAUAGUCAAUUAAGUCACGCAAGCUAUGUGAAUAAAUCUUUAGAUUUUACUGUUGUUUAUGUUUUUUAUUUUAUGUCUACGCCUUUUAUGAAAUAAAAUUUUAUAUUAUCGAUGGAAAACAGCUUCUCACAGUCGUUGCUUUUUGACACUGUUUAUGAAUCAACUUUUGUCUGUUUUGAAUGAAUAUCUCAAAGCAGAAUUCAUUCGCAAAAACCGGCGUUCAGCCGCGCACUGCCAGACUUCGAUAAUUGCGUCACUUCGUUUCGAACGAAUCGCGCGUUCGGCUCUCACAAGCGCAUUUCAAUGAGACAGUCAAUAGUGCCGAAUUUCCUGCUAUCUGUGGAAAAUGCAUACAUCUAUUUCUAAAUGGACGUAAGGUUAUGCUAUACAUGGCGUGUCUUCGACGUUUCCCGUUGAAGUUUAAGCUCGACGUUUUAACGACCGAUUAGACCGAUAGGAUACAAAGGACAAAUCUAAAAUUAAUGUAACAAUGGAUUCCGAAGAUAAACCAGUAUCUUUAGACAAGACUGAUGUUAUAUCUGAAGCACAAAUUGUAAACAAUACUGAAAAUAAAAAUGAUAAUGAGAACUGUGUUAAGGAAGUUUCAGGAGAAAACGAAGAAUCUGAUAAAUCACAUCUUGAUAAAGAUGAGCCACAACCUGAAGAAACAGAAACU